RNAcentral lists this unclassified non-coding RNA (263 nucleotides) under plant metagenome. Its description in RNAcentral is "partial contains small subunit ribosomal RNA, internal transcribed spacer 1, and 5.8S ribosomal RNA". The record is from RNAcentral.
UUUCCGUAGGUGAACCUGCGGAAGGAUCAUUAUUGUAUAACCGAGGUGCGAGGGCUGUCGCUGACCCGAAAGGACGUGCACGCCCUAGUGCCCUCACACGCGUCCAUCUCACCCCUAUGUGCACCACCGCGUGGGUCCCCCUUUGGCUUGUUCGGAGGGCUGCUUACGUUUUCACACAAACUUUGUAUGCUGUGUAGAAUGUAGUUUUUGUUUUUGUGAUUACGCAAUCAAUACAACUUUCAACAACGGAUCUCUUGGCUCUC